AGCCUGAUGCAGCGACGCCGCGUGGGGGAUGACGGCCUUCGGGUUGUAAACCCCUUUCAGCACAGACGAAGCGCAAGUGACGGUAUGUGCAGAAGAAGGACCGGCCAACUACGUGCCAGCAGCCGCGGUAAUACGUAGGGUCCGAGCGUUGUCCGGAAUUACUGGGCGUAAAGAGCUCGUAGGUGGUUUGUCGCGUUGUUCGUGAAAACUCACAGCUCAACUGUGGGCGUGCGGGCGAUACGGGCAGACUAGAGUACUGCAGGGGAGACUGGAAUUCCUGGUGUAGCGGUGGAAUGCGCAGAUAUCAGGAGGAACACCGGUGGCGAAGGCGGGUCUCUGGGCAGUAACUGACGCUGAGGAGCGAAAGCGUGGGGAGCGAACAGGAUUAGAUACCCUGGUAGUCCACGCCGUAAACGGUGGGUACUAGGUGUGGGUUUCCUUCCUUGGGAUCCGUGCCGUAGCUAACGCAUUAAGUACCCCGCCUGGGGAGUACGGCCGCAAGGCUAAAACUCAAA
Molecule: ribosomal RNA, 515 nt
Filed under: Mycolicibacterium arabiense
Lineage: Bacteria; Bacillati; Actinomycetota; Actinomycetes; Mycobacteriales; Mycobacteriaceae
Description: bacterial SSU rRNA
Rfam family: Bacterial small subunit ribosomal RNA
Source: RNAcentral